GAUGAACGCUAGCGGCAGGCCUAACACAUGCAAGUCGAGGGGCAGCACGUCUUCGGAUGGUGGCGACCGGCGCACGGGUGCGUAACGCGUAUGCAACCUACCUCUUACAGUGGGAUAGCCCAGAGAAAUUUGGAUUAAUACCGCAUAGUAUGCGACAUCAGCAUUGAUGACGUAUUAAACAUUCAUGGGUAAGAGAUGGGCAUGCGUUCUAUUAGUUAGUUGGAGUGGUAACGGCACCCCAAGACAGCGAUAGAUAGGGGCCCUGAGAGGGGGAUCCCCCACACUGGUACUGAGACACGGACCAGACUCCUACGGGAGGCAGCAGUGAGGAAUAUUGGACAAUGGGCGGGAGCCUGAUCCAGCCAUGCCGCGUGCAGGAAG
RNAcentral lists this ribosomal RNA (381 nucleotides) under uncultured bacterium. Its description in RNAcentral is "bacterial SSU rRNA". It matches the Rfam family "Bacterial small subunit ribosomal RNA", at positions 28 to 410 of the family's 1533-position model. The record is from RNAcentral.